ACGAACCGUCCAAACGUUAUUCGGAUUUAUUGGGCUUAAAGGGUACGUAGGCGGCGCUUCAAGUCGGGUGUGAAAUCCCUCGGCUCAACCGAGGAACUGCGCCCGAUACUGGAGUGCUCGAGGGAGACAGAGGUAAGCGGAACUGAUGGUGGAGCGGUGAAAUGCGUUGAUAUCAUCAGAAACACCAGUGGCGAAAGCGGCUUACUGGGUCUCUUCUGACGCUGAGGUACGAAAGCUAGGGGAGCGAACGGGA
This 253-nucleotide ribosomal RNA is filed under the name uncultured prokaryote. Its description in RNAcentral is "partial 16S ribosomal RNA". It matches the Rfam family "Bacterial small subunit ribosomal RNA", at positions 525 to 777 of the family's 1533-position model. The record is from RNAcentral.